This 500-nucleotide ribosomal RNA is filed under the name uncultured Glomeromycotina. Its description in RNAcentral is "partial small subunit ribosomal RNA". It matches the Rfam family "Eukaryotic small subunit ribosomal RNA", at positions 591 to 1092 of the family's 1831-position model. Lineage: Eukaryota; Fungi; Glomeromycota. The record is from RNAcentral.
CCAAUAGCGUAUAUUAAAGUUGUUGCAGUUAAAAAGCUCGUAGUUGGAUUUCGGGGUCAGUAGGUUGGUCAUGCCACUGGUAUGUACUGGUCUCACUGAUUCCUCCUUCCUGAUGAACUGUAAUGCCAUUAAUUUGGUGUUGCAGGGAAUCUGGACUGUUACUUUGAAAAAAUUAGAGUGUUUAAAGCAGGCUAACGCCUGAAUACAUUAGCAUGGAAUAAUGAAAUAGGACGUUCGAUCCUAUUUUGUUGGUUUCUAGGAUUGACGUAAUGAUUAAUAGGGAUAGUUGGGGGCAUUAGUAUUCAAUUGUCAGAGGUGAAAUUCUUGGAUUUAUUGAAGACUAACUACUGCGAAAGCAUUUGCCAAGGAUGUUUUCAUUAAUCAAGAACGAAAGUUAGGGGAUCGAAGACGAUCAGAUACCGUCGUAGUCUUAACCAUAAACUAUGCCGACUAGGGAUCGGAUGAUGUUAAUUUUUUAAUGACUCAUUCGGCGCCUUACG